RNAcentral lists this long non-coding RNA (550 nucleotides) under Lathyrus oleraceus (garden pea). RNAcentral describes it as "Pisum sativum (pea) long non-coding RNA (PSAT_LNC022198)". Lineage: Eukaryota; Viridiplantae; Streptophyta; Magnoliopsida; Fabales; Fabaceae. The record is from RNAcentral.
AAUUAGAGUCUAGUUCUAUGAAGUAUUUCAUGCAAAAGAGAAGUCAGGUGAGUUUCCAAAAAAAAACUGACGUGCAUGUCUUAAUUAAAAAUAAAAGUAUAUAAAAAAGCACCAGAACGCCAUAUUUUGAAAAUACAUUUAAAAUAGAAAUCACGCCGGUUUUUUUAGAAAAACUAAGAGAUUUGAAUAUAUAAAAUUAAAAAUUUAAAAGGACUUUUAAAAAAAAAUUGAAAAUAUUAAUGCAAAAUAUAUUACGUCUUAGUUAGACCAUGUAACCAGGUUAAUACUAAUAAAAAAUAAAGAAAAAAACAUUAACAAAGAAAAAAAGUGAAGCUGGAAAGACUCAAAUUGAGAAAUAGUAAUUAAACCAUUGAAGAAAAAAGUAAAAUGCAGUAACUGAGAUUCAAGGCAAGCUCCCUUAUAGCUAUAUUUUCUUGAUUUUUAAAAAACCCCGAGGAAUAGGUUGCAUAUAUAUUGUCGCGGCUGAAAAAUCACAGAGUCACCACCAUAUUUUAUUUGUUAAUAAGGAACAUGAAGAUAAUGAUAAAAC